UACGUAGGGUGCGAGCGUUGUCCGGAAUUAUUGGGCGUAAAGAGCUCGUAGGCGGUGUGUCACGUCGGCCGUGAAAACCUGCAGCUUAACUGUGGGCGUGCGGUCGAUACGGGCAGACUUGAGUACUGCAGGGGAGACUGGAAUUCCUGGUGUAGCGGUGGAAUGCGCAGAUAUCAGGAGGAACACCGGUGGCGAAGGCGGGUCUCUGGGCCGAUACUGACGCUGAGGAGCGAAAGCGUGGGGAGCGAACAGG
Molecule: ribosomal RNA, 253 nt
Filed under: uncultured bacterium
Lineage: Bacteria
Description: partial 16S ribosomal RNA
Rfam family: Bacterial small subunit ribosomal RNA
Source: RNAcentral